RNAcentral lists this ribosomal RNA (450 nucleotides) under uncultured Glomus. Its description in RNAcentral is "SSU rRNA". It matches the Rfam family "Eukaryotic small subunit ribosomal RNA", at positions 569 to 1024 of the family's 1831-position model. Lineage: Eukaryota; Fungi; Glomeromycota; Glomeromycetes; Glomerales; Glomeraceae. The record is from RNAcentral.
AGCAGCCGCGGUAAUUCCAGCUCCAAUAGCGUAUAUUAAAGUUGUUGCAGUUAAAAAGCUCGUAGUUGAAUUUCGGGGUUAGUAGGUUGGUCAUGCCUCUGGUAUGUACUGGUCUCACCGAUUCCUCCUUCCUGAUGAACCUUAAUGCCAUUAAUUUGGUGUUUUGGGGAAUUUGGACUGUUACUUUGAAAAAUUAGAGUGUUUAAAGCAAGCUAACGCUUGAAUACAUUAGCAUGGAAUAAUGAAAUAGGACGUUCGAUCCUAUUUUGUUGGUUUCUAGGAUUGACGUAAUGAUUAAUAGGGAUAGUUGGGGGCAUUAGUAUUCAAUUGUCAGAGGUGAAAUUCUUGGAUUUAUUGAAGACUAACUACUGCGAAAGCAUUUGCCAAGGAUGUUUUCAUUAAUCAAGAACGAAAGUUAGGGGAUCGAAGACGAUCAGAUACCGUCGUAGU